Molecule: long non-coding RNA, 507 nt
Organism: Rosa rugosa (rugosa rose)
Lineage: Eukaryota; Viridiplantae; Streptophyta; Magnoliopsida; Rosales; Rosaceae
Exons: 3
Source: RefSeq, a predicted model, not a curated record
AACACCGAGAGACAGACCCUCUUUAUCUUCAUCGUCCUCUCGCGAACAUAACCUGCCGCCUGAUAAAUACUCCACACUCCACCCCACCCCUUCACCACUUCUCUCUCUGCACAUUUCCCAUGGCCGAGUCCUCCGCCAAGCACUCUUCAGAUUUCGGUAACUGCCGCGACGGCGUCGUUCCGCACAUGAACAAGAACCCCCUCAAGUUUCAUCUCCAGAAGCUCAGCCUUGAGCUCACUUGCCCUCUCUAGUUGCCUAGGGUUUUUUAAUCGGCCGACAUUGCUUCCAUGCAAUCACAUCUUCUGCAAGUUCGUCUCUUUCUUCGAUUGACAUGAUUUUCAAAGUUCUGAUCUUUUUCUUGCUUUGGGUUUUACUUGCAGCACCUGUGUACCCAAUCGGACCAAUUUUGGAGCAGAGUGCCCUCUGUGUAAUAUCCAAGUUCCCGGUCAAGUUUCAAGUAAGCUGCGUUUGAAAUUCUGAGGGUCAAGGGCUGUAUAAGUAUCAGAC